Molecule: unclassified non-coding RNA, 346 nt
Filed under: soil metagenome
Description: partial contains 5.8S ribosomal RNA, internal transcribed spacer 2, and large subunit ribosomal RNA
Rfam family: 5.8S ribosomal RNA (bases 1-120)
Source: RNAcentral
GAUGAAGAACGCAGCGAACUGCGAUAAGUAAUGUGAAUUGCAGAAUUCAGUGAAUCAUCGAGUCUUUGAACGCACAUUGCGCCCCCUGGCAUUCCGGGGGGCAUGCCUGUCCGAGCGUCAUUGCUGCCCAUCAAGCCCGGCUUGUGUGUUGGGUCGUCGUCCCCCCCGGGGGACGGGCCCGAAAGGCAGCGGCGGCACCGUGUCCGGUCCUCGAGCGUAUGGGGCUUUGUCACCCGCUCGAUUAGGGCCGGCCGGGCGCCAGCCGACGUCUCCAACCAUUUUUUUCAGGUUGACCUCGGAUCAGGUAGGGAUACCCGCUGAACUUAAGCAUAUCAUAAGCGGAGGA